Molecule: ribosomal RNA, 253 nt
Filed under: uncultured bacterium
Lineage: Bacteria
Description: partial 16S ribosomal RNA
Rfam family: Bacterial small subunit ribosomal RNA
Source: RNAcentral
UACGUAGGGUGCGAGCGUUGUCCGGAAUUAUUGGGCGUAAAGAGCUUGUAGACGGUUUGUCGCGUCUGCCGUGAAAAUCCGGGGCUCAACCCCGGACUUGCGGUGGGUACGGGCAGACUAGAGUGUGGUAGGGGAGACUGGAAUUCCUGGUGUAGCGGUGAAAUGCGCAGAUAUCAGGAGGAACACCGAUGGCGAAGGUAGGUCUCUGGGCCACUACUGACGCUGAGAAGCGAAAGCGUGGGGAGCGAACAGG